Long non-coding RNA from Alosa alosa (allis shad), 1535 nucleotides. RefSeq lists it as uncharacterized. The record is from RefSeq and is a predicted model, not a curated record. NCBI's taxonomy places the organism in Eukaryota, Metazoa, Chordata, Actinopteri, Clupeiformes, Clupeidae. The transcript has 3 exons.
UCGGCCGAUGAAGCAGGAGGCGUGGAGGGAGGUCUUUCGUUUGGACGUCUGUUUGACAUGAGAUGGGAUUGUAUCACUGUACAGAGUAACAUUUUCAGGUGGAUUUGGGAGUUUCCAACUUGAAUAACCUUUUGGGAGUUUACAACUUGAAUUAAGUUUUUUUCUGUCUGGAUAUUUUUGUGAUUCACUGUAGCCUAUGUGUCCGCUGACCAGUGAUAACACUGGUUUAGAAAUGCACGUGAGACUUGUCAUGGAGUGUAUCUUGUGGAAACGCAAAAAUGUUUUGUGCUGCCUGGAGAAAUGAGUUGUUGCUUCCAUGGAUCGGAGUGGGACCGGUACAUAUCAAGGAUUUGCGCAUGGGACGCUGGUGGAGAUCGGUGGAGAAGGAGCCGGGAGCCCUGCUCCGCGGUGUCUGGACGAUAGCUGGGACCUUAUGGUCAGCGUGCUUUUGGGAAUAGUCUGCGCGCACACUCAAACACACACACACACACACAAACAAGUGCUAACGUGAAUCGUCCCAUCGGGAAAGCACUUUGGAGUACCGGCUACCUGUCCGAUGGAUUAUUGUGACAUGGAAACUAGAAUAUAUCAGUCUUUGGAUAAAUGGAAACAAAGACAGCCUGUCCUGGAUUUCACACCCCACUCCAUGACUGCACAGAGGUGUUUGUGGGACCCUGCAGAGAUGAUCCCUGGGACCUCCCAAAGUGUGUCCGGCACCUGGAGUGUGUGAGUGUGUGUGUGUGUGUGUGUGUGUGUGUGUGUGUGUGUGUGAGUGAGGUGUGUGUGUGUGUGUGUGUGUGUGUGUGUGUGUGUGUGUGUGUGUGUGUCCGUGACGGGUGGCCCACUUCUGUGAGCCAUAACUUUGGCUUACUGAAGCGUCCCCAUACUGGAAGCGUGUGUGUGUGUGUGUCCAUCCCGGCGCUCACCAUGCCUGACCUCUCACUGGGGUUUACGCACGCUGUGCCUACAAGAGGCUGGAUUCUCCAAGCCGCUUCUCCUCGGAAAUGGACUGUGGAUAAUUUCAAACAAGAGUGUUUUUUGGAAGCGGAGCAGGAUCCUCUCUGGAAUGUUUUUGGAUCAUUUCUCUUUCUUUUUUUUGGACAUUUGAACUUUCCCAGGUCUGUGGAUGUGAAAGCUUUGACGUCCACAUGUGUAUAUGCACAUGUCGAACAGUAUGUGUGUGUGUCUAAGUGUACGUGUGUGUGUACGUGUGUGUGUGUCUGUGUGUGUGUGUGUGUGUUAACUCGAGUGUUUAAAUCUUGGUACCUCUCUCAACUUCAAAGACCACAUCUCUAGCUCAAUGAUAUGGCUGUGUGAUUCAGUGGGUCUUAAAUGGACGAUGAUACACCAGUUCCCUCCAUUUUACCCGCAAACCUCAAAUCAAACUCCUCAGUUUGUGGUUUUGGGUUUUGUCUCCACAACUAAGUGCAAUGGAAGCUUGUUUUGAUAUGUUCCACUGUCAGCCUCCAUUAAUGUUAUUGUCUGUGUUGAUGCCCAUGAAUAUUUGCCAAUAAAACAUGCAGUGUGUUUUGGCA